RNAcentral lists this transfer RNA (73 nucleotides) under Bos taurus (domestic cattle). It matches the Rfam family "tRNA". From Rfam's summary of the family: Transfer RNA (tRNA) molecules are approximately 80 nucleotides in length. Their secondary structure includes four short double-helical elements and three loops (D, anti-codon, and T loops). RNAcentral also lists the same sequence under 2 other names. The record is from Rfam by way of RNAcentral. Lineage: Eukaryota; Metazoa; Chordata; Mammalia; Artiodactyla; Bovidae.
UCCCUGGUGAUCCAGUGGUUAAGAUUCUGCACUUCCAAUGCAGGGGAUGAAGGUUCAAUCCCUGGUUGGGGAA